RNAcentral lists this long non-coding RNA (1016 nucleotides) under Rattus norvegicus (Norway rat). RNAcentral describes it as "long non-coding RNA NONRATT015294". The record is from RNAcentral. Lineage: Eukaryota; Metazoa; Chordata; Mammalia; Rodentia; Muridae.
AUUUUUUAAAAAAAUCAGACAGCUAAUUAGUUAUUUCAUUGCAAAAUAACAUAAAAGAAUCUCUUCAGGAUUUUUUAUUUGAGUGAAUACGUCUGAAGGGGAGUGGAGGAACUCCGUAAGAGACGUCUCCCAGAGACCAACAUUAGGCAGCAAGAACGUUUCUGUUUUUUUUUUUUUUUUUUUUUGCCACAUGGAUUUUCUUUUCCCAGAUUUUUAUAAAAAUAGUUUCAACUACAUGGAAACAUGAAUAACUUGGCAUUAUUAUUAAUUUUAUAAUGGUUCCCUACAGCAACAACAGUAUAUAUAUCUUUUUCAAGUGUGUAAAGUUUUUUGACCUAAAACAAAUGGGACUUGUACUGUUUUUCAAAAAAUAAACUCAGUUUGAGAAUUGGAAUUCUUCUACACAGAGCUUGUAUAUUGGGCCUCCAAGUAGCUAAACUCCAUUCUGAUCAUCCUGCAUCCCGUUGUUUGGGAUAUCUUCACAUGCAAAACUCCUUUUGUGUCAAACCAAGUGUGUCUAUGAUUAUAACCCACUGUUAAAAUUAACCUACUAAUUCUUCUCCUUUAGUCCUCUACUUUCAAAAGCGUGAGUCAGCUUUGCUUAAAUGUAAAACAGUUAUUUUUUAAAUCUAGAUGUUAGAAAUCAAUGUGUACGGUGUAUUGUAUUUAGACCAUACCCGUGACCGUUUCUUUUUACUAGCUCAAACACUAACAAUUUAAGACUUACAAAGCAUGGGUUUUAUAUUCGCCAGGCUUGACAUAUCUCAGUAGGGUGACAGAUUUAAAAUGUAUGGUGCCAUUUGGAGCCUUUUACUUGAGAUUUCUUUCAAAUUUCACUUGAAAACAUUUUGAAAAUGCCUGAUUCAAGAUGGAGAGGAGUCGCCUUGUCAUACGGUCUCAAAUGUUAUUGAUUUAUUUCUCUCAGUAGACUGUUCGACUAGCAAUUUUUCCCAUCUGGUUUAUCGUUACCUGUGCUAGCAUCUCACUUGACAAGUGAAUAAAAUAUUCCAACUGAA